GAUGAAGAACGCAGCGAAAUGCGAUAAGUAAUGUGAAUUGCAGAGUUUUGUGAAUCAUCGAAUCUUUGAACGCACAUUGCGCCCCUUGGUAUUCCAUGGGGCAUGCCUGUUCGAGCGUCAUUUGUACCUUCAAGCUUUGCUUGGUGUUGGGUGUUUGUCCCGAGGGACUCGCCUUAAAGUAAUUGGCAGCCAGUGUUUGGUUUUGAAGCGCAGCACAAGUCGCGAUUCAAGGCUACACGCCCGCUUCCACAAGCCUUUUUUCACUUUUGACCUCGGAUCAGGUAGGGAUACCCGCUGAACUUAAGCAUAUCAAUAAGCGGAGGA
This 324-nucleotide unclassified non-coding RNA is filed under the name soil metagenome. RNAcentral describes it as "partial contains 5.8S ribosomal RNA, internal transcribed spacer 2, and large subunit ribosomal RNA". The stretch from base 1 to 120 matches the Rfam family "5.8S ribosomal RNA", at positions 35 to 154 of the family's 154-position model. The record is from RNAcentral.